GAUGAACGCUAGCGGCAGGCCUAAUACAUGCAAGUCGAACGGGAUUGAGGCGCUUGCUCCUCAUGAGAGUGGCGCACGGGGGGGUAACACGUAUGUAACCUCACUUAAUUAGGGGAAUAGCCUCUCGAAAGAGAGAUUAACACCGCAUAAAAUCUCACUAUGGCAUCACAGAAUGGCCAGAUAUUAAUUGGAAUAAGGUGGGCAUGCGGAACAUUAGCUAGUUGGUAAGGUAACGGCUUACCAAGGAUACGAUGUUUAGGGGAGAGGAGAGGAUGGCCCACCACACUGGAACUGAGACACGGACCAGACUCCUACGGGAGACAGCAGUAAGGAAUAUUGGUCAAUGGGCGGAAGCCUGAACCAGCCAUGCCGCGUGCAGGAAGACGGGCCUACGGGUUGUAAACUGCUUUUGUACCAGAAUAAACCUUUCUACGUGUAAGAAGCUGAAUGUACGGUAAGAAUAAGGAUCGGCUAACUCCGUGCCAGCCGCCGCUGUAA
This 498-nucleotide ribosomal RNA is filed under the name uncultured bacterium. RNAcentral describes it as "partial 16S ribosomal RNA". It matches the Rfam family "Bacterial small subunit ribosomal RNA", at positions 28 to 523 of the family's 1533-position model. The record is from RNAcentral.